UACGUAGGGGGCUAGCGUUGUCCGGAUUUAUUGGGCGUAAAGCGCGUGUAGGCGGUUCGGUAAGUCCGCUGUGAAAGUCGGGGGCUCAACCCUCGAAUGCCGGUGGAUACUGUCGGACUAGAGUACGGAAGAGGCGAGUGGAAUUCCUGGUGUAGCGGUGAAAUGCGCAGAUAUCAGGAGGAACACCAAUUGCGAAGGCAGCUCGCUGGGACGUUACUGACGCUGAGACGCGAAAGCGUGGGGAGCAAACAGG
Molecule: ribosomal RNA, 253 nt
Filed under: uncultured bacterium
Lineage: Bacteria
Description: partial 16S ribosomal RNA
Rfam family: Bacterial small subunit ribosomal RNA
Source: RNAcentral